RNAcentral lists this ribosomal RNA (378 nucleotides) under uncultured eukaryote. Its description in RNAcentral is "partial 18S ribosomal RNA". It matches the Rfam family "Eukaryotic small subunit ribosomal RNA", at positions 592 to 976 of the family's 1831-position model. The record is from RNAcentral.
CGCUAGCGUAUAUUAAAGUUGUUGCAGUUAAAAAGCUCGUAGUUGAACCUUGGGCUUGGCUGGCCGGUCCGCCUCACCGCGUGCACUGGUCCGGCCGAGCCUUUCCUUCUGGGGAACCGCAUGGCCUUCGCUGGCCGUGUCGGGGAACCAGGACUUUUACUUUGAAAAAAUUAGAGUGUUCAAAGCAGGCCUUUGCUCGAAUACAUUAGCAUGGAAUAAUAGAAUAGGACGGCCCUCCUAUUUUGUUGGUUUCUAGGGGAGCCGUAAUGAUUAACAGGGACAGGCGGGGGCAUCGGUAUUCAAUUGUCAGAGGUGAAAUUCUUGGAUUUAUUGAAGACCAACUACUGCGAAAGCAUUUGCCAAGGAUGUUUUCAUUAA